GAGUCCAGCUGCUGAGGAACAGAAGAACCGGCGAGGGGAGAGAAAGCAGAGCGAGAGCAGAGGCUGCUCGGCAGCCUGGACUCUCCUCUCCUCCCUUCACCAGCUCCUUUUACGACCACUGCUAUUAAUUACCAGUGUUAAAAGAGCCCCCGGCAGCAGGAGCUGCCCACACCAGCUCGGUGCUGGGUCCUUUCGGAGGCAGAGUGAAGGGUGGUGGACGCCAGGACCUUGUCACCACUGCUUGCAUCUCACAGAAUCACAGAGACGCUCAGCUUGGCAAAGCCCCUCGGGAUCACCAAGUCUCAACCGCCGUGACCCUUCGCUAGGCAGAGGAGCGGAACCUUUUGCAUCUCCAGCUUGGAGCCCUCCGAGGCAUCCGCCUGGAGCUCUCCUGUGCUGCCAGAGACAAACAGCGACCGCAGCAAUUAAUCACUGCAGCCUCGGAACCCGGCGAGAGCUAACGAGGAGCAUCUUCAAGCCUGGCAUCUCCUAACUAACAGUUUUAAUAAUCCCAGGUUGCUCCGAAGCACC
Long non-coding RNA from Pogoniulus pusillus (Red-fronted tinkerbird), 531 nucleotides. RefSeq lists it as uncharacterized. The record is from RefSeq and is a predicted model, not a curated record. The transcript has 3 exons. NCBI's taxonomy places the organism in Eukaryota, Metazoa, Chordata, Aves, Piciformes, Lybiidae.